This 465-nucleotide ribosomal RNA is filed under the name uncultured bacterium. Its description in RNAcentral is "partial 16S ribosomal RNA". It matches the Rfam family "Bacterial small subunit ribosomal RNA", at positions 339 to 795 of the family's 1533-position model. The record is from RNAcentral.
CUACGGGUCGCACCAGUGGGGAAUAUUGGACAAUGGGGGAAACCCUGAUCCAGCAAUGCCGCGUGUGUGAAGAAGGCCUGCGGGUUGUAAAGCACUUUCGGUUGGGAGGACUGCUUCUAGCACUAAUAUUGUUGGAAGUUGACGUUACCUUCAGAAGAAGCACCGGCUAAUUUCGUGCCAGCAGCCGCGGUAAUACGAAAGGUGCAAGCGUUGUUCGGAUUUACUGGGCGUAAAGAGAUCGUAGGUGGUUUGUUAAGUCGGAUGUGAAAUCCCGGGGCUCAACCUCGGAACUGCAUCCGAUACUGGCAGGCUAGAGUUCGGGAGGGGAAUGCGGAAUUCCGUGUGUAGCAGUGAAAUGCGUAGAUAUACGGAGGAACACCUGAGGCGAAGGCGGCAUUCUGGACCGAUACUGACACUGAGGAUCGAAAGCGUGGGUAGCAAACAGGAUUAGAUACCCCGGUAGUC